Molecule: long non-coding RNA, 213 nt
Filed under: Lathyrus oleraceus (garden pea)
Lineage: Eukaryota; Viridiplantae; Streptophyta; Magnoliopsida; Fabales; Fabaceae
Description: Pisum sativum (pea) long non-coding RNA (PSAT_LNC041085)
Source: RNAcentral
CAAAAAGAUGCUUUUGUUUUACCUUUUCUGUUUUGUUUGCGUAAACGUCCAUUGAUUUACUUUGAAUUGAUUUAUGCACUUGAAUAUGAUCAAUGUUUACCAAAAAUGCAUGCCUAGAAUAGUAAUAGCAAUUACUACACGACUUCAGGAUCGAGGAGAAGGUCUAAUCACGCUUCCCAAUGAAUCUGUUGCUAAUUCGAUUCCCCGGCUAAG